This 749-nucleotide ribosomal RNA is filed under the name Glomeromycotina sp. OTU31 DJMC-2012. RNAcentral's name for it is "eukaryotic LSU rRNA". It matches the Rfam family "Eukaryotic large subunit ribosomal RNA", at positions 54 to 654 of the family's 3401-position model. Lineage: Eukaryota; Fungi; Glomeromycota. The record is from RNAcentral.
AGGAAAAGAAACUAACAAGGAUUCCCCUAGUAACGGCGAGUGAAGAGGGAAGAGCUCAAAUUUUAANUCUGCCUUGUUCCAAGGUCGAGUUGUAAUUUGAAGAAGCGUUUUCUUGGGCUCGCGGCCGGUAGAAGUUCUUUGGAACAGGACAUCAUAGAGGGUGACAAUCCCGUCCGUGACCGGUCGUGCGUUCAUCUACGAUACGCUUUCAAAGAGUCGAGUUGUUUGGGAUUGCAGCUCCAAACGGGUGGUAAACAUCACCUAAGGCUAAAUAUUGGCGAGAGACCGAUAGCGAACAAGUACCGUGAGGGAAAGAUGAAAAGAACUUUGAAAAGAGAGUUAAACAGUACGUGAAAUUGUUGAAAGGGAAACGAUUGAAGUCAGUCGUGCUGGCGCGAAAUCAACCCUCUCGUCUUGAGAUCACAUGGCGCGACGAGCCUCAAAACCGUCACGAAGCGUGAACUCUUGACGAAAAGGUGCACUUUCGUGUCCGCUGGUUAACAUCAAUUUCGAACGUCAUAAAAAGGCUGGAGGGAUGUGGCUCCUUCGGGAGUGUUAUAACCUUUAGCGGAAUGUGGCGUUCGGGAUUGAGGAUUGCAACGAAUACCUUCAGGGCUGUUCCACCUGGCUUCUCAUUGGUAUCCUGGUGACGACAGCUUGCUGACGUCGUUAGGAUCAGCUUCUGAACAGGCUAGAGUGUGAGCAAAUUCGUUAAGGAUGUUAACGUAAUGGCUUUAAACGACCCGUCU